RNAcentral lists this transfer RNA (72 nucleotides) under Wrightia religiosa. RNAcentral's name for it is "tRNA-Met". The record is from RNAcentral. Lineage: Eukaryota; Viridiplantae; Streptophyta; Magnoliopsida; Gentianales; Apocynaceae. RNAcentral also lists the same sequence under 1 other name.
CCGAUGAUUUGGACGAUACGCCCCAGGUUGUUUUUUUCAAGCGUGGAAACCCCAGAACCAGAAGUAGUAGGA